This 120-nucleotide ribosomal RNA is filed under the name Pseudomonadota bacterium. Lineage: Bacteria; Pseudomonadati; Pseudomonadota. The record is from RNAcentral. RNAcentral also lists the same sequence under 2 other names.
CCCGGUGUCCCAAUACCCAAGGGGCCACACCCGUUCCCAUUCCGAAUACGGUCGUUAAGCCCUUGGGGCCGAUGAUACUGUCGGGAAUCACUUCGGCGGGAAAGUAGGUCGAUGCCGGGG